ACACACACACACACACACACAAUAGUGUCUUUCUUUCCAAACUCCCCGGCUUCUAAGUUUCCUGUGCACAGCUUUGGAAACAGUAGAGAUGCUGACUGAGCAGGCUAUUGCUAUAUCUAUGAUGAAAAACUUGUAAGAACUGUGAGGUUUUCUGAAGUAGGUGGUCUGUGGAUUGUGGUUUGGAGCAAAUAAAUAAAUAAAUAAACAAAUAAAUAAAUAAAUAAAUAAAAACCCUAGAAAGUUGGUCUGUGGUAGCUUCAUGUUCAAGAUGCACAGAGGCAAAGGGAGACUGAAUGACUUCUCAGAGGCAUUUUGGUUAAAAAAAAUGAUUAUCAGAAGAUGUGGGAAUAAAUGAAGAGGGGCAGGAUGGUAGGCAAAGCUGCUUCAGUGGACAGUCGCAUGAUAGAGUAAGCUGAGGUCUGAGAAACCAUGUGAGCAUUGCCUGGCACAUGGGAAGCAGGUACGAGUGCCCAUACAGAGGUCAGAGGACAUCUUGUAAGAA
Molecule: long non-coding RNA, 502 nt
Organism: Mus musculus (house mouse)
Lineage: Eukaryota; Metazoa; Chordata; Mammalia; Rodentia; Muridae
Product: predicted gene, 32197
Exons: 3
Source: RefSeq, a predicted model, not a curated record